UGGGGAAUAUUGCACAAUGGGCGAAAGCCUGAUGCAGCAACGCCGCGUGCGGGAUGACGGCCUUCGGGUUGUAAACCCGCUUUUCAGCAGGGGACGAAAGGUUUUUCUGACGGUACCUGCAGAAGAAGCACCGGCUAACUACGUGCCAGCAGCCGCGGUGAUACGUAGGGUGCGAGCGUUGUCCGGAAUUAUUGGGCGUAAAGAGCUUGUAGGCGGUCCGUUGCGUCGGAAGUGAAAACUCAGGGCUUAACCCUGAGCCUGCUUUCGAUACGGGCGGACUUGAGGGAUGUAGGGGAGAACGGAAUUCCUGGUGGAGCGGUGGAAUGCGCAGAUAUCAGGAGGAACACCAGUGGCGAAGGCGGUUCUCUGGACAUUUCCUGACGCUGAGAAGCGAAAGCGUGGGGAGCAAACAGGCUUAGAUACCCUGGUAGUCCACGCCGUAAACGGUGGCACUAGGUGUGGGACCCAUUCCACGGGUUCCGUGCCGUAGCUAACGCAUUAAGUGCCCCGCCUGGGGAGUACGGCCGCAAGGCUAAAACCUC
RNAcentral lists this ribosomal RNA (542 nucleotides) under uncultured bacterium. Its description in RNAcentral is "partial 16S ribosomal RNA". It matches the Rfam family "Bacterial small subunit ribosomal RNA", at positions 355 to 903 of the family's 1533-position model. The record is from RNAcentral.